UACGUAGGUGGCAAGCGUUAUCCGGAUUUAUUGGGCGUAAAGGGAACGCAGGCGGUCUUUUAAGUCUGAUGUGAAAGCCUUCGGCUUAACCGGAGUAGUGCAUUGGAAACUGGGAGACUUGAGUGCAGAAGAGGAGAGUGGAACUCCAUGUGUAGCGGUGAAAUGCGUAGAUAUUAGGAGGAACACCAGUGGCGAAGGCGGCUUACUGGACUGUAACUGACGCUGAGGCUCGAAAGCGUGGGUAGCGAACAGG
This 253-nucleotide ribosomal RNA is filed under the name uncultured bacterium. RNAcentral's name for it is "partial 16S ribosomal RNA". It matches the Rfam family "Bacterial small subunit ribosomal RNA", at positions 524 to 776 of the family's 1533-position model. The record is from RNAcentral.